UAGGGAAUCUUCGGCAAUGGACGAAAGUCUGACCGAGCAACGCCGCGUGAGUGAAGAAGGUUUUCGGAUCGUAAAACUCUGUUGUUAGAGAAGAACAAGGACGUUAGUAACUGAACGUCCCCUGACGGUAUCUAACCAGAAAGCCACGGCUAACUACGUGCCAGCAGCCGCGGUAAUACGUAGGUGGCAAGCGUUGUCCGGCUCUAUUGGGCGUAAAGCGAGCGCAGGCGGUUUCUUAAGUCUGAUGUGAAAGCCCCCGGCUCAACCGGGGAGGGUCAUUGGAAACUGCGAGACUUGAGUUCAGAAAAGGAGAGUGGAAGUCCAUGUGUGGCGGUGAAAUGCGUAGAUAUAUGGAGAAACACCAGUGGCGAAGGCGGCUCUCUGGUCUGUAACUGACGCUGAGGCUCGAAAGCGUGGGGAGCAAACAGG
This 429-nucleotide ribosomal RNA is filed under the name Gemmatimonadota bacterium. RNAcentral describes it as "Gemmatimonadetes bacterium partial 16S ribosomal RNA". It matches the Rfam family "Bacterial small subunit ribosomal RNA", at positions 355 to 776 of the family's 1533-position model. Lineage: Bacteria; Pseudomonadati; Gemmatimonadota. The record is from RNAcentral.